RNAcentral lists this long non-coding RNA (276 nucleotides) under Homo sapiens (human). RNAcentral describes it as "non-protein coding lnc-IL5RA-12:1". The record is from RNAcentral. Lineage: Eukaryota; Metazoa; Chordata; Mammalia; Primates; Hominidae.
GGCCUGGGGCUACUCCUGGCGCUGGGCCUGCCGCUGCUGUCGUCCCUGGGAACGACCCUGGGCGCAAAUAUCAACCCCUUCUGCAAAUGAGAGUAGCAUUGUUUGGCCUACACCCACCAGCUCCAGCUCCAGUGGAGCCCUGUUUCGGGGGGCCGUCACUGCUAUCAUCUUGGUCCUCUGAUUCCUGGCUGUCUUGUUCCUGGCAGUGGGGCUGGCACUAUUGGUGCGGAAGCUUCCGGAGAUGAGGCAGACGGAGGGCACCUACUGGCCCAGCAG